UGGGGAAUUUUGGACAAUGGGCGAAAGCCUGAUCCAGCAAUGCCGCGUGUGUGAAGAAGGCCUUCGGGUUGUAAAGCACUUUUGUCCGGAAAGAAAUCCUUGGCUCUAAUACAGUCGGGGGAUGACGGUACCGGAAGAAUAAGCACCGGCUAACUACGUGCCAGCAGCCGCGGUAAUACGUAGGGUGCAAGCGUUAAUCGGAAUUACUGGGCGUAAAGCGUGCGCAGGCGGUUUGCUAAGACCGAUGUGAAAUCCCCGGGCUCAACCUGGGAACUGCAUUGGUGACUGGCAGGCUAGAGUAUGGCAGAGGGGGGUAGAAUUCCACGUGUAGCAGUGAAAUGCGUAGAGAUGUGGAGGAAUACCGAUGGCGAAGGCAGCCCCCUGGGCCAAUACUGACGCUCAUGCACGAAAGCGUGGGGAGCAAACAGGAUUAGAUACCCUGGUAGUCCACGCCCUAAACGAUGUCAACUAGUUGCUGGGGAUUCAUUUCCUUAGUAACGUAGCUAACGCGUGAAGUUGACCGCCUGGGGAGUACGGUCGCAAGAUUAAAACUUAAAGGAAUUGACGGGGUCAUAGCUGUUUCCU
RNAcentral lists this ribosomal RNA (585 nucleotides) under uncultured bacterium. Its description in RNAcentral is "partial 16S ribosomal RNA". It matches the Rfam family "Bacterial small subunit ribosomal RNA", at positions 355 to 1375 of the family's 1533-position model. The record is from RNAcentral.